Long non-coding RNA from Fukomys damarensis (Damara mole-rat), 3820 nucleotides. The record is from Ensembl. NCBI's taxonomy places the organism in Eukaryota, Metazoa, Chordata, Mammalia, Rodentia, Bathyergidae.
CCAUGCUGCUACCACAUGCUGGGCCCCUUCUUGGGCUCUACUCUUCUCUUCCCUUGUUUUGAAGGCCCCCUGGGAUUUCCUGCAAUGGACUCCGCAGAGGGACAGCCAUUAGAGUAUGCUCCCGCCUAUCCUCUCUGUGAUCUGGAUGUCCACCGAGUGGUUUGCUGGUUUUCACCAAAGUUUCGUAUGGCCUUUACCUGCUGGUCUCUGUGACAUGAUUAUACCAUGUGUUAGAAACUCAGCCAAAAGAAGGGGAAAGAGAAGAGGUUGACUCACGUGGAGACUGUGGAAGGACCUGGCUGCAGAGAACCAAUGUAGGGAAUGUUGGCAUCCUCAUUUGUCCAUCUGGACUCUCAGAGUUUGAGCAGCCUGAGGCUAGAGUGGGAAGGGCCACAGAAGGCAAAGCCCAAAGACUCCUCUCCUUACUGGUUGAGGACCUCGGAGCCACCCAACAGCUGGGCCACAAGAAAUGCUGAGGUACUGGCCCACCCCUCCCCCACAGCCACCCAGUUUCUCGGGUUCAAGGUCCCAGGCAGUCAGGGGCUCGUUUUCCACGCAGUCUGGGCCAUGUUCUCUCCUUCAAGUCUUUACAAAGCCUUCCCCAGCACCCCAGGCCUCAGACAGUUUUCCUGGGCCACUUUUGCCCCCAACAUGAACUCCAGGGGCAGCUUUUCAAAAUUAAGUAGCUGCCUCUUACAGCUCCCUCUGAACAUCCUGAUUCUUCAGAUCCUGAGAGCCUGGCUUUGGUACUCUGCAUAUGUAUAGAUCUAGUUUUCACACAACAGGCUGAGUAGCAGAUGGGGACCCAAACCAGCCUCCAACAUUUCACUGAGUGUUAAGACACAGGGAACUGGGGAACAGGGUGGCUUUGAACCAGCCCCUACUGCUGCCAGCACUCAACCUUAGACGAUUUUCAUAAGAAGGAAAAAAAAACUAAACUAAAAAACAAAAAAACAACAACAGCAACACACACACACAUACAAGCUCAACAAAACCACAGUUUUCCUUGCUCCCCCAAUCCAGAUGGCAGAUGGUAUGGAACCAAUAAAACACAGAUUCAAACAUUUGUUUAUUUAGCAUUGAAUGGAGUAUGGCUUUGUGAUCCCUUCCAAGGAAACACAACCUUCCAACCAAAGAAAUGAUGAGUCUAAGUCAAAGCUCAGGGCAGCAUUGGGAGGGUUCCUCCUGGGGAGGUCCCUGAGCACACGGAAAAUAAAGCACUGGUGAAGCCUCUGGGCCUGUUUACCUCACUGGCAGAAACUCCAGGAGGUCUUCAUCCUGAACACUGACUGACUCUCCGUUUCUGUAGUUUGCUUUUUGUCGACAUUCCUGUUGAAAAAGCAGCCAGCCACAUCAAGAACGUUCCUGCGUCACUUCUAAAACAGCUGUGAAGAUGUUCUGGGCCACCAAUUGAAAAGACCAUGAGAAAAAGGCACAAGCCCCUGAGAAAAGGCACUUUGUUCUGCUGCUCUGGCUCUCAGAUAUCAGAAAAAGAGAGCUCUGUGCGACAAUGUGUUUCCCUUUUUGCUUUGGCUUCCAGGAGAUUCAGAGCUAUCUUAUAUGCUGAGAUUGAAAAAUGAUCUUGUACUUAUUAAGACUCUUUUGGUUAUGAGUGACAGAAAUCUAACCCAAGCGAUUUAAAAUAAAAAGAUAAUUUAUUGCCGGGCAUGGUGGUGCACGCCUAUAAUCCCAGUACUCGGGAGGCUGAGGCAGGAGGAUCGCUGUGAGGUGGAGACCAGCCUGGGCUACUUUGUGAGUUCCAGGUCAGUCUCAACUACACAAUGAGACCCUGCCUCAAAUCACCCCCGCAAAAAAGAUAAUUUAUUAGGUCAAAUUAGUGCAGAUGAUUUCAGAGAUUGCUGAUUCAAAGGUCAGAGUGCUUCCCUCUCUAGAUCUCAAACUCUUUCUUCACAAGGCAGCCACCAUUGCUCCAGGCCGCCCCCAAGCACAUCCUAUCAGUUCAGCAACCCUACCAGAAAGUUCUUUUAGAAGUGAUCAGUGAAGUCUUCUUGGAGGAAUUUGAUUGGCCCACCAAACUCAUUUCUAAACAAAUUAAUAGUCAGUGACUUGAGGUUGUUUUGCUUAGCCCUUCUGGGCCAUAUUGAGCAGGUAACAUGUUUCUCUGCAGUUCAAGCCAAACUUACUGGUGGAAAAGUUUUCCACCAUUCCCUCAACGUGUCCAGCUUCUGGACACUUCCUCUCAAGCAUCUCAAGAAUUUUCUUUGUUCUCAGUUUUAUUACUUCUAUCUCCCUGUCAAAUGUAAAUGACAUGUGGCACUGUGCACUGAGUUUGCUGUCUGUAAUAUCUGAUAACCUGUGAAUUUUCUGGGCCCAAAUGACUUGUGUUCUAUGUAACCAAUGAAAAAUGCUUAACUCCUGCAAGCCCACUCCCUCCUGAGAGUAUAACCUGCCCUGCUCAACCCUGAAGGAGGGGUCAGUCUCUUUGUGGAGAAGUCCCAGACUGACCAACUGAUGUUAAAAAUAAAAUUGUACACUUUGCCUCCAAAACUUCUGGGUACAUCUUCCAUUCUCCUGGACUACCUGUCCAUACGUCUGGCUGGUACUCUGCGGCUACAAUAUGACCCAGAAGGGAAGAGGAAGGUUCACUCUAUCCCAAGCACUGGGAAAUACAUUCCCGUCAGGAAAUGGGAAAGAGAGGGGAAAUUUCUCUCUUGUGCAAAUAGAUGACUACCAUAGCCCAAAAUUUGGUACAGCUUUCUAUCCUCCUUCCCUAACCCAUACACUUCUCUUUUGAAAUAAGCAUGAAAUUAAAUAUAUGUGUCUUUCAUGUAAGCAGUCCUUAUGCUAUUUUCUCAUUGGCAGGCUCUAUGGGAAGCAGCAACUUCUGAGCUCACCUGGGAAUGUGGGUUGAAUCCACUCCCCUGGGCUUUACACUAGCUGUGGCCUCGAGGCCACCCUGAGUUCCCAGAAGCUUCCCACCUCCUAUUUCUGGAUACCUGGGUUUCCUCUACCUGAUUGCUUCCCACCUCGAGCUUAGCCAGCUUGCAGGUUCAACAUGCAGUUUAUUUAAAGUGAUAAUCAUGCCAUCAGCGUCCUACUAUCCUUGCCAAAAUAGUACAACCUGAUCACAAGAGUGACGUCCCAUCACCUUGACUGUGUCCCCUUGGUUAAAAACAAGUCACAGAUUCUGCCAGGGGUGGGAAUUAUUAAGGUAAUAACAAUUUGGAAAUGUGUUCACCAUUAGGGUCUUUCUCUCCGAACUCAGACACCGUGGCCACCCAUCCAUCUGUGUUAUCGAUAAGAAGCCCUGUCCCUGGUGGGCAGCACACAGGUCUCUCACACAGCCCGUGGGGUUGCUGAACCUGUAAACAGAUUGUGGCCCUAGAGUCGGGAUACGCAGGGGGCUGCAUGUUUGAAGGGUUUAGGGUCACGCAGCAGUUUCUUCUUGGGCUGGAGGGCAGUGCAGGGAGAUGGCCAGAGCUGAGCUCCCAAAGGAGGUGACACAGAUACAGCCUUGAUGGAUGAUGUAUAGGGAGCUGACAGGAAGCAAAGCAGUGUGCCAGAGAGGGUCAGGAUAUGGCCGCAGAAGAGCAAGGUACCUUUGGAGAGCUGGGAGUAGUCCAGCCACAGUCCUGGGGCAAGGGGGCGAGGCCAGAACUUCAAGGAAUUUAGGCGCUAGCUGUUGAAAUAUCUUCCUUCAGGGCCACUGUGCAGUCACAGUACCGAGUUAGCUCAGGGAUGUGAUGGGGAGGGCGGAAGCCCAGGUAGGAGCCCAAGCAGGGCAGAGGCUUGGGAUGGGAAAGCUUGAUUUGUCUGUGUUAGGGCGAAGUCCCUGCUCUCCCCCUAAAUCCCACCGCAG